GACGAACGCUGGCGGCGUGCUUAACACAUGCAAGUCGAACGGUGAAGCGCCUUCCUUUUUGGUGGGUGUGGAUGAGUGGCGAACGGGUGAGUAACACGUGAGUAACCUGCCCCCUUCUUCUGGAUAACCGCAUGAAAGUGUGGCUAAUACGGGAUAUUCUGGGUCUGUCGCAUGAUGGGUCUGGGAAAGAUAUUGUUUCGGUGGGUGAUGGGCUCGCGGCCUAUCAGCUUGUUGGUGGGGUGAUGGUCUACCAAGGCGGUGACGGGUAGCCGGCCUGAGAGGGUGGACGGUCACACUGGGACUGAGACACGGCCCAGACUCCUACGGGAGGCAGCAGUGGGGAAUAUUGCACAAUGGGCGCAAGCCUGAUGCAGCGACGCCGCGUGAGGGAUGGAGGCCUUCGGGUUGUGAACCUCUUUCGCCAGUGAAGCAGGCCUGCCUCGUUUGUGGGUGGGUUGACGGUAGCUGGAUAAGAAGCGCCGGCUAACUACGUG
This 494-nucleotide ribosomal RNA is filed under the name uncultured bacterium. Its description in RNAcentral is "partial 16S ribosomal RNA". It matches the Rfam family "Bacterial small subunit ribosomal RNA", at positions 28 to 507 of the family's 1533-position model. The record is from RNAcentral.